This 494-nucleotide ribosomal RNA is filed under the name uncultured bacterium. RNAcentral describes it as "bacterial SSU rRNA". It matches the Rfam family "Bacterial small subunit ribosomal RNA", at positions 28 to 513 of the family's 1533-position model. The record is from RNAcentral.
GAUGAACGCUAGCGGCAGGCUUAAUACAUGCAAGUCGAGGGGCAGCAGGUCUGUAGCAAUACAGAUGCUGGCGACCGGCAAACGGGUGCGGAACACGUACAGAACCUUCCUUCGAGCGGGGAAUAGCCCAGAGAAAUUUGGAUUAAUACCCCAUAGUAUAUUGAAAAGGCAUCUUUUUAAUAUUAAAGAUUUAUCACUUGAAGAUGGCUGUGCGGCUGAUUAGAUAGUUGGCGGGGUAAUGGCCCACCAAGUCUGCGAUCAGUAACUGGUGUGAGAGCACGACCAGUCACACGGGCACUGAGACACGGGCCCGACUCCUACGGGAGGCAGCAGUAAGGAAUAUUGGUCAAUGGACGAAAGUCUGAACCAGCCAUGCCGCGUGAAGGAUGAAGGUCCUCUGGAUUGUAAACUUCUUUUAUCUGGGACGAAAAAAGGGAAUUCUUUCCCACUUGACGAUACCAGAGGAAUAAGCACCGGCUAACUCCGUGCCAGCA